Acanthosepion pharaonis is the source of this 98-nucleotide non-coding RNA. Lineage: Eukaryota; Metazoa; Mollusca; Cephalopoda; Sepiida; Sepiidae. The record is from the annotation of a GenBank genome assembly.
UUUAAACACCGCUUCUCAUCUGAUCACUGAAGUUAAGCAACGUCGAGUCUGGUUAGUACCCAGGUGGGUGGCCGCUUGAGAAUACCAGUUGUUGUAAG